This 479-nucleotide ribosomal RNA is filed under the name uncultured bacterium. Its description in RNAcentral is "SSU rRNA". It matches the Rfam family "Bacterial small subunit ribosomal RNA", at positions 26 to 518 of the family's 1533-position model. The record is from RNAcentral.
AGGACGAACGCUGGCGGCGUGCCUAAUACAUGCAAGUCGAACGAGACUUUCCUUGGUGGUAACACCUUUGAUUGUCUAGUGGCGAACGGGUGAGUAACACGUGAGAAACCUGCCCUGAAGACGGGGAUAACAGAAGGAAACUUCUGCUAAUACCCGAUACCCCCACCGGAUCGCAUGGUCUGGUGAGGAAAUGGAUUCCGCUUCAGGAGGGUCUCGCGGCCUAUCAGCUUGUUGGUGAGGUAAUGGCUUACCAAGGCUUGGACGGGUAGCUGGUCUGAGAGGACGAUCAGCCACACUGGGACUGAGACACGGCCCAGACUCCUACGGGAGGCAGCAGUAAGGAAUAUUGCGCAAUGGGCGAAAGCCUGACGCAGCAACGCCGCGUGCGGGAUGAAGGCCCUCGGGUUGUAACCGCUUUCAGUAGGGAAGAAAUGACGGUACCUACAGAAGAAGCCCGGCAACUACGUGCCAGCAGCCGC